RNAcentral lists this ribosomal RNA (497 nucleotides) under uncultured bacterium. RNAcentral describes it as "partial 16S ribosomal RNA". It matches the Rfam family "Bacterial small subunit ribosomal RNA", at positions 28 to 507 of the family's 1533-position model. The record is from RNAcentral.
GAUGAACGCUGGCGGCGUGCCUAAUACAUGCAAGUCGAGCGAACAGACGAGGAGCUUGCUCCUCUGACGUUAGCGGCGGACGGGUGAGUAACACGUGGAUAACCUACCUAUAAGACUGGGAUAACUUCGGGAAACCGGAGCUAAUACCGGAUAACAUGUUGAACCGCAUGGUUCAACAGUGAAAGACGGUUUUGCUGUCACUUAUAGAUGGAUCCGCGCCGCAUUAGCUAGUUGGUAAGGUAACGGCUUACCAAGGGAACGAUGCGUAGCCGACCUGAGAGGGUGGUCGGCCACACUGGAACUGAGACACGGUCCAGACUCCUACGGGAGGCAGCAGUCGGGAAUCUUCCGCAAUGGGCGGAAGCCUGACGGAGCAACGCCGCGUGAGUGAAGAAGGUCUUCGGAUCGUAAAACUCUGUUAUUAGGGAAGAACAAAUGUGUAAGUAACUAUGCACGUCUUGACGGUACCUAAUCAGAAAGCCACGGCUAACUACGUG